RNAcentral lists this non-coding RNA (24 nucleotides) under Arabidopsis thaliana (thale cress). The record is from RNAcentral. Lineage: Eukaryota; Viridiplantae; Streptophyta; Magnoliopsida; Brassicales; Brassicaceae.
UCAAGUCCUUAGGUUGAAGUGCCC